GACGGAGGAGGCAAGCGUUAUCCGGAAUUAUUGGGCGUAAAGCGUCCGCAGGUGGCGAUUCAAGUCUGCUGUCAAAGGUCGGGGCUUAACCCCGGGAAUGCAGUGGAAACUGAAUAGCUAGAGUGCGGUAGGGGCAGAGGGAAUUCGCGGUGUAGGGUUGAAAUGCGUAGAGAUCGGGAAGAACGCCAGUGGCGAAAGCGGUCUGCUGGGCCUGGAGUGACACUGUGGGACGAAAGCUUGGGGAGCGAAAGGG
This 253-nucleotide ribosomal RNA is filed under the name uncultured bacterium. RNAcentral describes it as "partial 16S ribosomal RNA". It matches the Rfam family "Bacterial small subunit ribosomal RNA", at positions 524 to 776 of the family's 1533-position model. The record is from RNAcentral.